RNAcentral lists this ribosomal RNA (486 nucleotides) under uncultured bacterium. Its description in RNAcentral is "partial 16S ribosomal RNA". It matches the Rfam family "Bacterial small subunit ribosomal RNA", at positions 30 to 507 of the family's 1533-position model. The record is from RNAcentral.
AUUGAACGCUGGCGGCAUGCCUUACACAUGCAAGUCGAACGGCAGCACGGGUGCUUGCCCCUGGUGGCGAGUGGCGAACGGGUGAGUAAUACAUCGGAACAUGUCCUGUGGUGGGGGAUAGCCCGGCGAAAGCCGGAUUAAUACCGCAUACGAUCUACGGAUGAAAGCGGGGGACCUUCGGGCCUCGCGCUUUAGGGUUGGCCGAUGGCUGAUUAGCUAGUUGGUGGGGUAAAGGCCUACCAAGGCGACGAUCAGUAGCUGGUCUGAGAGGACGACCAGCCACACUGGGACUGAGACACGGCCCAGACUCCUACGGGAGGCAGCAGUGGGGAAUUUUGGACAAUGGGCGAAAGCCUGAUCCAGCAAUGCCGCGUGUGUGAAGAAGGCCUUCGGGUUGUAAAGCACUUUUGUCCGGAAAGAAAUCCUUGGCUCUAAUACAGUCGGGGGAUGACGGUACCGGAAGAAUAAGCACCGGCUAACUACGUG